RNAcentral lists this ribosomal RNA (253 nucleotides) under uncultured bacterium. RNAcentral describes it as "partial 16S ribosomal RNA". It matches the Rfam family "Bacterial small subunit ribosomal RNA", at positions 524 to 776 of the family's 1533-position model. The record is from RNAcentral.
UACGGAGGGGGCUAGCGUUGUUCGGAAUUACUGGGCGUAAAGCGCGCGUAGGCGGACCUGCAAGUCGGGGGUGAAAGCCCGAGGCUCAACCUCGGAACUGCCUUCGAUACUGCGGGUCUCGAGUCCGGGAGAGGUGAGUGGAAUUCCUGGUGUAGCGGUGAAAUGCGCAGAUAUCAGGAAGAACACCCGUGGCGAAAGCGGCUCUCUGGAACGGUACUGACGCUGAGACGCGAAAGCGUGGGGAGCGAACAGG